Molecule: ribosomal RNA, 802 nt
Filed under: uncultured Bacteroidota bacterium
Lineage: Bacteria; Pseudomonadati; Bacteroidota
Description: bacterial SSU rRNA
Rfam family: Bacterial small subunit ribosomal RNA
Source: RNAcentral
GGGUAUAUGUCUUCGGAUAUAGAGACCGGCGCACGGGUGCGUAACGCGUAUGCAAUCUACCUUUUACAGGGGAAUAGCCCAGAGAAAUUUGGAUUAAUGCCCCAUAGUAUAAUUGAAUGGCAUCAUUUAAUUAUUAAAGUCACAACGGUAAAAGAUGAGCAUGCGUCCCAUUAGUUAGUUGGUAAGGUAACGGCUUACCAAGACAAUGAUGGGUAGGGGUCCUGAGAGGGAGAUCCCCCACACUGGUACUGAGACACGGACCAGACUCCUACGGGAGGCAGCAGUGAGGAAUAUUGGACAAUGGGCGCAAGCCUGAUCCAGCCAUGCCGCGUGCAGGAAGACGGUCCUAUGGAUUGUAAACUGCUUUUAUACAGGAAGAAACACUCCGACGUGUCGGAGCUUGACGGUACUGUAGGAAUAAGGAUCGGCUAACUCCGUGCCAGCAGCCGCGGUAAUACGGAGGAUCCAAGCGUUAUCCGGAAUCAUUGGGUUUAAAGGGUCCGUAGGCGGUUUAAUAAGUCAGUGGUGAAAUCUGGUCGCUCAACGAUCAAACGGCCAUUGAUACUGUUAGACUUGAAUUAUAAGGAAGUAACUAGAAUAUGUAGUGUAGCGGUGAAAUGCUUAGAUAUUACAUGGAAUACCAAUUGCGAAGGCAGGUUACUACUUAUGGAUUGACGCUGAUGGACGAAAGCGUGGGGAGCGAACAGGAUUAGAUACCCUGGUAGUCCACGCCGUAAACGAUGGAUACUAGCUGUUGGAAGCAAUUUCAGUGGCUAAGCGAAAGUGAUAAGUAUCCCACCUG